GCUGGGCGCAGUGGCGCUCACCUGUAAUCCCAGCAACUUCGAGGCUGAGACAGGAGGAUCACAAGUUCCAAAUCAGCCUCAGGCACUUAGACCCUGUUUCAA
Molecule: small RNA, 102 nt
Filed under: Marmota monax (woodchuck)
Lineage: Eukaryota; Metazoa; Chordata; Mammalia; Rodentia; Sciuridae
Source: RNAcentral